AAAAUGACUCUCGGCAACGGAUAUCUCGGCUCUUGCAUCGAUGAAGAACGUAGCGAAAUGCGAUACUUGGUGUGAAUUGCAGAAUCCCGUGAACCAUCGAGUCUUUGAACGCAAGUUGCGCCCGAAGCCACUAGGCCGAGGGCACGCCUGCCUGGGUGUCACGC
This 164-nucleotide ribosomal RNA is filed under the name Flemingia philippinensis. RNAcentral describes it as "5.8S ribosomal RNA". It matches the Rfam family "5.8S ribosomal RNA". Rfam says of the family: 5.8S ribosomal RNA (5.8S rRNA) is a component of the large subunit of the eukaryotic ribosome. The record is from RNAcentral. Lineage: Eukaryota; Viridiplantae; Streptophyta; Magnoliopsida; Fabales; Fabaceae.